GCUUACGGCCAGACCAGCCUGAAUAUGCCCGAUCUCGGAAGCUAAGCAGGGUCAGAACUGGUCACUACUUGGUUGGGAGACUGCUUGGGAAUAUCAGGUGCUGUAAGCU
RNAcentral lists this ribosomal RNA (109 nucleotides) under Salmo salar (Atlantic salmon). Lineage: Eukaryota; Metazoa; Chordata; Actinopteri; Salmoniformes; Salmonidae. The record is from RNAcentral.